GGGGAUUUAGCCCAGUGGCCUAAGCACCUGCCUGGCAAGCAUGAGAUUGAGCUCAAUCCCUG
Molecule: transfer RNA, 62 nt
Filed under: Cavia porcellus (domestic guinea pig)
Lineage: Eukaryota; Metazoa; Chordata; Mammalia; Rodentia; Caviidae
Rfam family: tRNA
About the family: Transfer RNA (tRNA) molecules are approximately 80 nucleotides in length.
Source: Rfam by way of RNAcentral